CCCAUCUCGUCCUCAGAGUCUAGCUCCGCUGCUCCAGGUAGGUGGUGAGGGUGGAGCUGGUUAUGCAGCUGGUGGAUCUCCUCAUGCAAGUUCUCAUUGUACUCCUCGGCAUUAGCUAGCUGCUGCUCUAGCUCUAGCUGUCGGGCCCUCAAAGUGUCCUCCUCGUGCCAGGCUUCAUUCCUCUGUCCAAGCACAUGGACUAGCAUGCGCUCGCACUUCCUGUGAGCAGUAGUCACCCUGUCCUUCUGCUCCCGUACUGC
This 260-nucleotide long non-coding RNA is filed under the name Sorghum bicolor (sorghum). Its description in RNAcentral is "long non-coding RNA (SBIC_LNC005256)". The record is from RNAcentral. Lineage: Eukaryota; Viridiplantae; Streptophyta; Magnoliopsida; Poales; Poaceae.